GACGAACGCUGGCGGCGUGCUUAACACAUGCAAGUCGAGCGGAAAGGCUCCUUCGGGGGUACUCGAGCGGCGAACGGGUGAGUAACACGUGAGUAAUCUGCCCUGCGCUCUGGGAUAGCCACCGGAAACGGUGAUUAAUACCGGAUAUGACUGCUACCCGCAUGGGUUGGUGGUGGAAAGUUUUUCGGCGCAGGAUGUGCUCGCGGCCUAUCAGCUUGUUGGUGAGGUAAUGGCUCACCAAGGCUUUGACGGGUAGCCGGCCUGAGAGGGUGACCGGUCACACUGGGACUGAGACACGGCCCAGACUCCUACGGGAGGCAGCGGUGGGGAAUAUUGGACAAUGGGCGGAAGCCUGAUCCAGCAACGCCGCGUGAGGGAUGACGGCCUUCGGGUUGUAAACCUCUUUCAGUACCGACGAAGCGAGAGUGACGGUAGGUACAGAAGAAGGACCGGCCAACUACGUGCCAGCCGCCGCGGUAA
RNAcentral lists this ribosomal RNA (480 nucleotides) under uncultured bacterium. Its description in RNAcentral is "partial 16S ribosomal RNA". It matches the Rfam family "Bacterial small subunit ribosomal RNA", at positions 28 to 523 of the family's 1533-position model. The record is from RNAcentral.